RNAcentral lists this ribosomal RNA (909 nucleotides) under Deconica coprophila. RNAcentral describes it as "LSU rRNA". It matches the Rfam family "Eukaryotic large subunit ribosomal RNA", at positions 74 to 968 of the family's 3401-position model. The record is from RNAcentral. Lineage: Eukaryota; Fungi; Basidiomycota; Agaricomycetes; Agaricales; Kuehneromycetaceae.
AUUCCCCUAGUAACUGCGAGUGAAGCGGGAAAAGCUCAAAUUUAAAAUCUGGCGGUCUUUGGCCGUCCGAGUUGUAAUCUAGAGAAGUGUUAUCCGCGCUGGACCGUGUACAAGUCUCCUGGAAUGGAGCGUCAUAGAGGGUGAGAAUCCCGUCUUUGACACGGACUACCAGUGCUUUGUGAUACGCUCUCAAAGAGUCGAGUUGUUUGGGAAUGCAGCUCAAAAUGGGUGGUAAAUUCCAUCUAAAGCUAAAUAUUGGCGAGAGACCGAUAGCGAACAAGUACCGUGAGGGAAAGAUGAAAAGAACUUUGGAAAGAGAGUUAAACAGUACGUGAAAUUGCUGAAAGGGAAACGCUUGAAGUCAGUCGCGUUGGCCGGGGAUCAACCUUGCUUUUGCUGGGUGUACUUUCCGGUUGACGGGUCAGCAUCAAUUUUGACCGUUGGAUAAAGUGUAGGGGAAUGUGGCAUCUUCGGAUGUGUUAUAGCCUUUGCUCGUAUACAACGGUUGGGAUUGAGGAACUCAGUACGCCGCAAGGCCGGGAAUUUAUUCCACGUUCGUACUUAGGAUGCUGGCAUAAUGGCUUUAAUCGACCCGUCUUGAAACACGGACCAAGGAGUCUAACAUGCCUGCGAGUGUUUGGGUGGAAAACCCGAGCGCGUAAUGAAAGUGAAAGUUGAGAUCCCUGUCGUGGGGAGCAUCGACGCCCGGACCAGACCUUUUGUGACGGAUCUGCGGUAGAGCAUGUAUGUUGGGACCCGAAAGAUGGUGAACUAUGCCUGAAUAGGGUGAAGCCAGAGGAAACUCUGGUGGAGGCUCGUAGCGAUACUGACGUGCAAAUCGAUCGUCAAAUUUGGGUAUAGGGGCGCAAGACUAAUCGAACCAUCUAGUAGCUGGUUCCUGCCGAAGUU